RNAcentral lists this long non-coding RNA (6072 nucleotides) under Lactuca sativa (garden lettuce). Its description in RNAcentral is "long non-coding RNA (LSAT_LNC004818)". The record is from RNAcentral. Lineage: Eukaryota; Viridiplantae; Streptophyta; Magnoliopsida; Asterales; Asteraceae.
ACUGAAGAGCAGGUUCUCGAAUCACCAACUCACCGCAAAUCCCGAACUAGCCAUCAAUAAAAUAAACAUUAGGCCAAGCAUACAUCCACUUAUCGGGCCAAGGCCAAAGUCCAAAUCUUAUACAAAGUCCAAUAUUGGCCCAAUUUACCAAAUUGGGCCCACCUCACCAAAUGGGCCUAGAUCCAAGGUCCAUAACAAUAAUUGGGCCCACAACACUCUAUCCAUAAUUUCCAAACUUGGCCCAUAAACCAACUACCCACAAACGGCCCAAACUCUAAGGCCCAAUAUUAAGGUCUAAUCAGGGGGAGUACGAUGGGCGUACCCUCCUUGGUACGCGGGGCGUACACAUAAAAACGCGGCUGAGGAUCGGGCCCAUGACCCGCUACGCGGGGCGUAACUUCGUUACUCAUAAAGUCCUUAUAACCUCUUAAUGGCUUAAUCUCUUAAGCCCAAACUUCAAAUCCCUAGGCUAAAUACCCCUAAGAUUCAUAAAGUCUCAAACUUUAUCACUUGGGACGUCCAAAAGCUCUUAAUCUAAGGUCUUAAUCCAUUAAGACCUAUAUAUCUCAUACAUGGAACAACUACAGCCCUUGGGACCUCAUUUUUCUCACUCAAGACCUCUCCAAAUGUCUGAAAGGACAGAUAAUCUCGGCCAACACAAAACAUGAAUCAAGAUGAGAACUUUGGGACAAGAAAGAUGCUAAAACUUCACAAUACUUACAUCCAUGCAAAAUAAAUGGUAAGCAAGAAGCUUUAUACCUCAAAUAAGCUCUAAAGGAUGAUAUCUCUUCAGAUCUACAAGCUCAAAUUGUUCCUUUCCUUCUUUGACAACUUCUCCUUUCUUCUUCUAGCUUUUCUUUUGCCAAAAUGAGCUUUCCAAGGCCAAACACACCCAACAAUGGAGGGAAUACGAUUUUCGAGGGUUUCUGAGGUUAAGGGUGAGCUUAAGGAGGCUAGGGUAUGAAGCAACAUGUUCCUUAUAUAGUGGCUGACCCUAAUUUUAGGUUUUUAGAACUCUGAGAGUACGCUGGGCAUACUCAACCUUGCACCCGCGUCCAUAUACGCCUUACGUUGGGCAUAAUCCCAGCUUACGCUGGGCGUACUCGGCGAGUCCCCAAAUUUCAUACUUCCCCCUCCUUUUCUACUUUUCACCCAAGAUGACCAAAAUAUCAUUUCUCUUAAAUCCCGGGGACUCACAAUUAGGUACUCUUAGGAACGGGGCGUUACAAUUCUCCCCCACUUAAAUUAGGCUUCGCCCUCGAAGCCUUCGGCACCUCUACUCCAGAACUUCUCCCGCCACGCACCACCUGGCAUUAACCCAACCAGGUUCCUCAAGACGCAACCAUCGAAACCCGAAACUCAUUUUCUCCUUUCUAGCGGUGUCCUGACUACCGCCUCAAGUCGGCCACCGGCUUCACCCUCUGAUAACCACACCUAUCAAGAUCCACGCUUAUCAACCGAGUACCACUCCAUGGCACUUCCUCGAUUCUGAUCACAACAAUCUCUUGGCUCUUACGAGCUAAAUAUAACUCUAAACCACCGGGUUCCCGAUCCGAUUCCAACUCUAUCCAUCCCCAUGCUGACAGAAUAACACAUUCUUCAGCCUCAGAGCAACUCCCAUGAGUUCUCCUCUUGCAAUCGCAUGCACAUGCUGAACUAGCUCUAGUACCCUCGGAAUGGAAAAACCCACCACACUAAUGACACCCCCAAACAUCCCCCAGGAUGAAUCACCACUACAUACACAAUUCCUCGAUCAGAAUCAAACUGGAAAUCCAAGACUCCCUCCCAGCAUCCUUUCCGAGCCUCUUGGCUCUACCCUCGCGGAAAUCCUUCCGCAACCUCAACAGACAUCCCAUCCGGAUGUGAUUCCAUACCACUGCCGCAAUCAUGUUGCUCAAAGACCCUAAUUGGAUCACUCCAAUCACUACUCUGCGCUGCUGCUUUCACUUCCGUGAACUUACACUCCCUCUCGGAACUAUAUUCUUCUCUUUUUCCCUACCAAGGGAAUCCACUUGGCCGCCUUGUCACUGCGACAAGUGCCACGGUUCUCGCCCGAUGCUACACCACUCCCUUAUAGCAUAACCGCUAUCCAUGCAACACACAUGCUCUAAAUCUGCUCGCAAGGACUCUCGAGUCCAUGCACCAUCUCCACAAAUCGAGAUCAAUACCCGGGUCCAGACCUACCAAUGCUAACAUAUCGCGACAUAGUCAAUCCAUUUCCUCGAACCGAUCUAACAAUACCUGCAGAGUCUUCAGCAUGACUGGACCGCCUUACCAGGCGUUCAGCCAAUCUGGACCACUCUCAGAACCUUCAGCCAAUCUAGGCCGCCCUCCAGGGCCUUCAGCCUGGCUGGGCCGUUCUCCGAGCCUUCGGCCUGACUGGUACGCCUACCGGCCUUCAGUCUAUCCGGACCGCUCAACUAGCAUUCAUCACUCCGAGUUAUCUCUCCGGGAAAUCCUCCCAUGCAUACCUUUCUAGCCCUCUAGGGGUUCCGAACUCUAUCUACAUCAUACAAACUCGAUCUCGGCCUGAUCCCACGCCCUCCGCAAUCAAAUACCCUUGGUCUGUAUCCCGCCCCGCAUGCUUGUCACUUAGUCAUACUAGCCUACGCUCUUGGCUGACAGAAUACUGCUGAAUCCCAAACAGCUAAACAACCUCACAUGCUCAUCGAUCUUCCGGAGAAUUUUCCAAUUCCCCCCCCACUUAGGGCACUGACUAUCAACCACCGGUCGCUAUCACCGACCUCCCAAAACAACCCUGCACAAAACAAACACUUACACGCGGACUGAUUCCCACUAGCACUAAGAACCUUCACAAAAUCACAUAUCAACACUGAUCGACCCGAGCUCAAAAGAACCUCAAUCUGUAGCUAACCACUCCUCAGAAUGCAGAUGCUACCCGACAUUUAGACCAACUCCAGAUUUCCACUAAUAACCCCCAUGAAAGAUAACCAACGAAAUUCCCAACACUAACCCAUAACCAAUCCAUAACCCUCAAAGAACAACGAAUACCGCACCGAAAACCACACAAUGAGACUAGCAGAUAAACAAGACAUCAAGAAAAAAACAUACCUGCGGCUGCAUCCGGCACUGCUCUGACCUCCUCUGCUGCAAGCUGAAAAGCACGACCCUGAGCCCUUGGGGGCUCCGCUCCACCCUGACCUCCACCCGUGAUCCUCAAAGUGGCCGGUGCUGGAGCCUGCACCGGUCCUGCAGCGAGCUGUGGACAGUUGACCCUCAAAUGUCCAACCUGAUGACAAUGAUAACAAAUCCUCAAAUCCCGAACCGGCGCUGACUGUCGACAAUCCCUCGCAUAGUGCCCCUCCUUUCCGCACUUGCGGCAUGCUCCACCGGACCUACAAACUCCGGUGUGACUCCUCCCACACUUCCCACAAGUGUGGCUACUCAGAUCUCCCACUCUAGAAUCAACGGUCUUGGACCGUUUUGGCGCCGGCUGCGAUUGCACCGGAGCCUGGCUCAGCUCACGCAACUGCAACUCAAACUCUAUCUCAUGCCGCCUGGCGGCCUCCUGCAACUCCAACAAAGUCUCGCACCUCUGCAUAGACACAAACUGUCUGAUAUCCCUCUUGAGCAUGCUCAGAUAUCGAGACAUCUGAGCCUGCUCCGAAGCGAACUCAGGGCAGAACAUCGCCCUCUCUGUGAACAUCCUGGUGAUCUCAGUCACCGACUCCGAACCCUGCUUCAGCUCAAGGAACUCCUGAGCCAAUCUCUCUCUCUCAACUCGCGGAACAUAACGAGUGCUGAACAUCUCUCUGAACUGAUCCCAUGAAACCGCAGCCCUCUGCGCAUCCGAAUAUGACCCCGUGGUCAAUCUCCACCAAUCCUUCGCCCCGAGCCUCAACAGGUUCAGAGCACACCUCACCCUCUGAUCAGCAGGGCAUGAACAUGUGAAGAAACACCCCUCCACGUCCGAUAACCAUCUCAUAGCAACAAUCGGGUCCUGAACUCCAUUAAGGGUAGGAGGCUUCGUAUUAUCGAAGUCCCGAUACUGAAAACCCCGACCAGCUCCUCCCCCUGCUGCUGCUACACCCGCUGUAGCUGCCGCGGCAUCCGUCUCUGUGAGAUAUGCAUAGCGCUUCUCAAAAUACUCAACCAUGGUGGUCUUGAUCGACCCAAACAGUUCUGGCAACUCAGCCCGGAACAACGCAACAAUCUCAUCACGCAGGAUCUCACGAAUCCUCGCAUCCAACUCGCAUGUGCUCAUCUGACCAAUAACCUCGGGUGGUACUGACCCGCCCAGAACUCCCUCUCCUACUCCCGAUCCUGACUCGGAUCCACUUCCAGCAUUCCUCGGAAUCUCCAUACUGAAAACACCACAAAAUCACAGAUUCUUCCCACUAUCCCGGGAACCAACUCUCAAUCCAACUCUAGAGGUCAUGGUUUCCCUGAUACGCGUAUGGGUCCUAUGCUUUCAGUAGUACGGGCCCAUACUACCAUCCACACCUACCCAUAUUUGUAUGAAGUACUACCACAACACCCUAGUGAAAACAUACAUAACAAACGCUCAACCCUCACUACUAGAGGAACACUGGAAAUCUCCCACAAGGAAACCCUAGGCUAACAGGCAUCAAAAAUCAGGCAACAUUAUCAUGAAAUCCUGAAGAUCCCUAGCCUAGCACUAGCAUGCUGUUCUAUCAAAGCUCAAAAACAAAUAUCAUGUAUGGUAUUUUGGGGUUACUUACUGGCUCUGGCUGAUCGUACCUCCGCGUCCUCCUUUACUCAUUUUGAAAACCAUUUUAAAUUCUCUUUUGAAAACUCUCCUCGAUUUGAGACUGGAGUCACACGAGUGUUCCUCCAAUUCACUCAAACCAAGGCUCUGAUACCAACUUGUAACGACCGAAAAAUUCCAACCAAUUUAAACUUUUCAAAAACAACCCGAUUUCAUUAAAUUAUUACAAAAAGGUUUUCAAUACAAUUUAUUUAGAGUAUUCCCAGAAUCACAUCACAACAUAAACAUGAGGAGCGGUACGAUCACGCCUUCGCCUUGCCACGGUCUCCUGAAGAACCUGAAAAACAUUAAACCACAACUGUAAGCCCGAAAGCUUAGUGAGAUAUCCCCAAAAUACCAACCACAUAUACCAUACACGCAUAACAUGCCAUAUCAUAUCCGAUCACAGAACAGCCAUGCACUUCGGGUCUACUGUGUGACUGGUCCGCCGCACCGGCCAACAGUCCACCUGGUCCACCCUCCGAGUCUAUCCACAUACAUCGAGUCUGCAGUGUGAUUGGUCCGCCCGUUCCCGGGCCUUCAAUCCACCUGGUCCACUCUCUGAGUCUACAGUAUGACUGGUCCGCCCGCACCGGGCCUUCAGUCGGCCUGGUCCACUCUCCGAGCCUCGGCACGUCUGGUCCGCCCUCUUGGGGCCUACAGCCUAUCCGGACCGCUCGCUGGGCCUUCGGGACAACCGGUCCGCCCUGGGUAUCUUGGCCUACAGCACAAAGCAGGACCCGCCUCAACCCAACUCCAGUCCAAACAACCAUGUGCACAUAAACAUACAAUCAUAUAAGAAUUCACAGUCAACAAGCCGAUCAAACAGAUCACAUAACAUAUCAUCAUCCUAACCAGGAUACCGACCUAACCGGUCACUAGCAUAGCAUCACCCUACAUAUCAGGGAACCGACCUUAACCAGGUCUCUAACAUAUACCAUCCUAGCUACCAGGAUGCAAACAUAUCAAAGCAAUAACAUAACAACAAAUACCCGGAUCUCAAUCCGAUAAAGGGCCAACCUUGGUGCCUUAGACCCUAUCGAUAUAGUGAGAAUAACUCACCUCGCACUGCCAAAACUCUGAACUAAAGAGCAGGUUCUCGAAUCACCAACUCACCGCAAAUCCCGAACUAGCCAUCGACAAAAUAAACAUUAGGCCAAGCAUACAUCCACUUAUCGGGCCAAGGCCAAAGUCCAAAUCUUAUUCAAAGUCCAAUAUUGGCCCAAUUUACCAAAUUGGGCCCACCUCACCAAAUGGGCCUAGAUCCAAGGUCCAUAACAAUAAUUGGGCCCACAACACUCUAUCCAUAAUUUCCAGACUUGGCCCAUAAACCAACUACCCAC